GAACGCUGGCGGCGUGCUUUACACAUGCAAGUCGAGCGAUGAGAUCCCUUCGGGGAAGGAUUAGCGGCGAACGGGUGAGGAACACGUGAGGAAUCUGCCUUCAACACUGGGAUAACUCCGGGAAACCGGGGCUAAUACCGGAUACGAGACCUGCAGGCAUCUGCGGGUCUGGAAAGUUUUUCGGUUGAAGAUGACCUCGCGGCCUAUCAGCUUGUUGGUGAGGUAAUGGCUCACCAAGGCGACGACGGGUAGCCGGCCUGAGAGGGCGACCGGCCACACUGGGACUGAGACACGGCCCAGACUCCUACGGGAGGCAGCAGUGGGGAAUAUUGGGCAAUGGAGGAAACUCUGACCCAGCGACGCCGCGUGCGGGAUGAAGGCCUUCGGGUUGUAAACCGCUUUCAGCAAGGAAGAAGCGAAAGUGACGGUACUUGCAGAAGAAGCACCGGCUAACUAUGUGCCAGCAGCCGCGGUAAUACAUAGGGUGCAAGCGUUGUCCGGAAUUAUUGGGCGUAAAGAGCUUCGUAGGUGGUUCGUCACGUCGGAUGUGAAAAUCUGGGGCUUAACCCCAGACCUGCAUUCGAUACGGGCCGAGCUAGAGUGUGGUAGGGGAAGACUGGAAUUCCUGGUGUAACCGUGGAAUGCCGCAGAUAUCACG
Molecule: ribosomal RNA, 658 nt
Filed under: uncultured Crater Lake bacterium CL120-5
Lineage: Bacteria
Description: bacterial SSU rRNA
Rfam family: Bacterial small subunit ribosomal RNA
Source: RNAcentral